This 810-nucleotide ribosomal RNA is filed under the name uncultured crenarchaeote. RNAcentral describes it as "bacterial SSU rRNA". It matches the Rfam family "Archaeal small subunit ribosomal RNA", at positions 54 to 871 of the family's 1478-position model. Lineage: Archaea; Thermoproteati; Thermoproteota. The record is from RNAcentral.
CGAGUCAUUGUAGCAUACAAGGCAUACGGCUCAGUAACGCGUAGUCCACCUAACCUAUGGACGGGAAUAACCUCGGGAAACUGAGAAUAAUGCCCGAUAGAACAUUAUGCCUGGAAUGGUUUAUGUUCCAAAUGAUUUAUCGCCGUAGGAUGGGACUGCGGCCUAUCAGUUUGUUGGUGAGGUAAUGGCCCACCAAGACUAUUACAGGUACGGGCUCUGAGAGGAGUAGCCCGGAGAUGGGUACUGAGACACGGACCCAGGCCCUAUGGGGCGCAGCAGGCGAGAAAACUUUGCAAUGUGCGAAAGCACGACAAGGUUAAUCCGAGUGGUUUCUGCUAAAGAAACCUUUUGUCAGUCCUAGAAACACUGAUGAAUAAGGGGUGGGCAAGUUCUGGUGUCAGCCGCCGCGGUAAAACCAGCACCUCAAGUGGUCAGGAUGAUUAUUGGGCCUAAAGCAUCCGUAGCCGGCUCUGUAAGUUUUCGGUUAAAUCUGUACGCUCAACGUACAGGCUGCCGGGAAUACUGCAGAGCUAGGGAGUGGGAGAGGUAGACGGUACUCGGUAGGAAGGGGUAAAAUCCUUUGAUCUAUUGAUGACCACCUGUGGCGAAGGCGGUCUACCAGAACACGUCCGACGGUGAGGGAUGAAAGCUGGGGGAGCAAACCGGAUUAGAUACCCGGGUAGUCCCAGCUGUAAACUAUGCAAACUCAGUGAUGCAUUGGCUUGUGGCCAAUGCAGUGCUGCAGGGAAGCCGUUAAGUUUGCCGCCUGGGAAGUACGUACGCAAGUAUGAAACUCAAAUGAAUUGACGG